Molecule: unclassified non-coding RNA, 219 nt
Filed under: Hevea brasiliensis (rubber tree)
Lineage: Eukaryota; Viridiplantae; Streptophyta; Magnoliopsida; Malpighiales; Euphorbiaceae
Source: RNAcentral
GUAGCAUCCAACUAGACCCGGGUAUCAGACCUCUCAUUGAGUCCUAGUUUGAGACUCAUGUUCAUAUAAUGCAAUUUAUCCUCAAAUUAGAGAAGUAAAAGAAAAAUAAGUUUUGGCCGAAAGGACAUUUAGAUGAUUACAUAAAUUGCAGGUUGUAGGUUGAAUUUUCAUUAAGAUGGAAUUGGAAGUGGAAAUGGUAUAGCUUUAUGUAGUGUAUUA